GGGCGUGUGGCUCAGUUGGUAGAGCGCCCGCUUAGCAUCUACAGCAAUGCGGAAGGUCCCCGGUUCGAUUCCGGGCUCGUCCA
This is a non-coding RNA of Podospora fimiseda, 83 nucleotides long. Lineage: Eukaryota; Fungi; Ascomycota; Sordariomycetes; Sordariales; Podosporaceae. The record is from the annotation of a GenBank genome assembly.